Molecule: long non-coding RNA, 1416 nt
Filed under: Mus musculus (house mouse)
Lineage: Eukaryota; Metazoa; Chordata; Mammalia; Rodentia; Muridae
Description: long non-coding RNA chr1:74352266-74353682
Source: RNAcentral
UUGGCUCCUGCUCCAGAGGCCACACCACCACUAGAGCCCUAGAACCCAGGAGAAGAGAGUCCUGACCAGGCUAGUCUAUCUUCCACCUUCCCCCAUGCAGGGUUGUAGGGGAAGCUCACCCCAAAAAUGAUCUAACGUGUGGUGCCUGGGAAAGUGGUCAUCAACCAGGGCAGCCAGACUCUGGGUGACUGAGACUCUAAGUCCCACCCUACCUACCUUGCUAAGACAUUGCCAGGCAGAGCCAUUCCUAAGAACACCUAAGGACUGGAAGCCUGGUUCUGGCCCAUCCCUGCCUCAGUGGAUGUCCUGAAGGCCAGAGAGAGAGGUUCCUGGUUGCCAAGGAAUCUUCUGCUUCAGGCCAGGGAGUCAAAGGAUGAUGGCACACAGAGCCACACACCACGCACAUCUGUUCUGGGUCUGCCAUUGUCCCGGGUCAUAAGGGCCUGCCUGCCUUCCCAGGGGAGAGUGAACUGUGGUCUGCCUCAGAGACCUGCUUCUCCUUUCCGCCCUUGUUCUUAGGAAUUCCUGCCUGCCUGCUGUCUCACUUAACCUCUCUUGCUCUAUCUUCACCCCCUUUCCUCUCUGAGUCAUUAAAGGCUGACUUUCUUCCAGCCUGGUACUCAUCCGGCUCUUUGCAGUUUGCCAAAAACCUUCAUUCCCACGUCAUUUCCCACUGGAUCCCAGGGCCCUCUUGUUGUCAGUGUGCAGAUAGCAGAGGUCUGGGAAUAGGAAGCUCCAGUGAGUGGCAGCUUCCAGGACCUCAGGCCUGGCCAUACCCCACUGCUCAUCCCCCUCCAGAUCUGCUUGUCCUCUGGUCUCAGGUCAAGGGCCCUUUGUGGCCACAGGAGCACUAUGGUCGUUUUGCAAGCACACCUUAGGUGAGUUAGCCAGGAGCCACAUCUUUCUGUGUCAGAGCCUUCCACUGGGCUGUGCAGUGCCCUCUGUUGUUCCUCUGAGAUGCCCCUGCCUCAGUUUCCCCUCUCAUUUGGCUUCGGCUGCCCUCUCCAGGCACAGCCUUUGGAACUCACUCUAGCAAUACCACCGGACUAGUUAGCCUUCCCGGCCCCAAGACACUCGCAGUUUCAUGCCUUUGUGCCUUUCGCUCAUGCGGUUUCUUCAGCUGGAAUGCCUUCCCGCUCCUGCCGCCUCCUCUGCCUGGCAAACACCUGUUAGCCUCUCCCAGGCCCCUCCCCCAGGAAGGCACCCUUCACCCCUCUCUUCCAGGCUACCUCUGCACCUGUAAAUGCUUCUCUCGUGGCACCUAUCACACCGUACUUUACUUGUUUACAUGUUUGUCUCCCCUUCUAGACUGUGAAUCCUUAAGGGCAUGGACUGUAUCUUAUGCAUCUCUGUAUUUCUGCGCCUAGCACGGUGCCUGGCACACAGUAGGCGCUCAAUAAAUGUUGAAUGAAUGAU